AGAGUAACGGAGGAGCACGAAGGUUGGCUAAUCCUGGUCGGACAUCAGGAGGUUAGUGCAAUGGCAUAAGCCAGCUUGACUGCGAGCGUGACGGCGCGAGCAGGUGCGAAAGCAGGUCAUAGUGAUCCGGUGGUUCUGAAUGGAAGGGCCAUCGCUCAACGGAUAAAAGGUACUCCGGGGAUAACAGGCUGAUACCGCCCAAGAGUUCAUAUCGACGGCGGUGUUUGGCACCUCGAUGUCGGCUCAUCACAUCCUGGGGCUGAAGUAGGUCCCAAGGGUAUGGCUGUUCGCCAUUUAAAGUGGUACGCGAGCUGGGUUUAGAACGUCGUGAGACAGUUCGGUCCCUAUCUGCCGUGGGCGCUGGAGAACUGAGGGGGGCUGCUCCUAGUACGAGAGGACCGGAGUGGACGCAUCACUGGUGUUCGGGUUGUCAUGCCAAUGGCACUGCCCGGUAGCUAAAUGCGGAAGAGAUAAGUGCUGAAAGCAUCUAAGCACGAAACUUGCCCCGAGAUGAGUUCUCCCUGAGACUUAGAGUCUCCUGAAGGAACGUUGAAGACGACGACGUUGAUAGGCCGGGUGUGUAAGCGCAGCGAUGCGUUGAGCUAACCGGUACUAAUGAACCGUGAGGCUUAACCUUACAACGCCGAAG
Molecule: ribosomal RNA, 649 nt
Filed under: Salmonella enterica
Lineage: Bacteria; Pseudomonadati; Pseudomonadota; Gammaproteobacteria; Enterobacterales; Enterobacteriaceae
Description: partial 23S ribosomal RNA
Rfam family: Bacterial large subunit ribosomal RNA
Source: RNAcentral